UGGUUUUUACAUGCUUAGUGAACUGUGAAUUUGUCUGUUUUUGCCUUUGUCAGUCACUGAUUUUGCAGCAUUUGUCCAAUCCCACUUCAGAGGAAGUUUUUCUGUGGUGGGGAAAGCAGCAUUCAGCCACAUUCACUGCUCUCUGCCAAAUGUGUCAGAAGAAACAAGGAUGCUUUUCAUUCUCUGAGAUUAUGCCUACACUAGCAGGACUGGACGUGAUUCUGAGAUUUUGGCUAUAAUCUGGAACAAACUCUGUUUACACCAUACUGAGGCUACUGAGGCAUGACCUGAGCAUGCAUCACCCUUCGUUCGUGAUCUGUUCUGUAUCACAGAAUUACAUAAUAACCAAGGUUGGAAAAGACGUACAGGAUCAUCCAGCGCAAACAUCUAAUACUGAAAAGAAAUGUGGCUUCUGCAGCCAAAGAGAAACCAAACAGAGGAUGAAGAUUCCAAUUUGUGACUGAGAAGACUCCAGUUUUACUGAACAUGGAGGGAUAUUCACGUUGAAGAUUCAUGUUCCACUGUUUUUUGACACACUCUCCCUCCUCGUUCUCUGCUAACCCAGGAAUCAGCUUGAAACGGCCUCAAAAAGCCAGCCUGCCUGCAUGUCUAUGCAGAGGUUGGACAGACCUCACUGGAAAGACAUGGUGUCUUUCUCUACAAGAAAGACAAAUUUUAAACUUUUAUAUACUGGGAAAUUCCAAACUCAAGAUUUUUUCCCAAGAACAACAUGAUGAAGAAAAUUCAUCCCAGAUAUCUUCCAUGCUUUGAGGAGCUUGAAUGCUGCUAAUCGACUGUCAAAGCAC
RNAcentral lists this long non-coding RNA (806 nucleotides) under Coturnix japonica (Japanese quail). RNAcentral's name for it is "lncRNA (ENSCJPG00005018227.1)". The record is from RNAcentral. Lineage: Eukaryota; Metazoa; Chordata; Aves; Galliformes; Phasianidae.